RNAcentral lists this transfer RNA (73 nucleotides) under Actinomycetota bacterium. Its description in RNAcentral is "tRNA-Asn". It matches the Rfam family "tRNA". From Rfam's summary of the family: Transfer RNA (tRNA) molecules are approximately 80 nucleotides in length. Their secondary structure includes four short double-helical elements and three loops (D, anti-codon, and T loops). The record is from RNAcentral. Lineage: Bacteria; Bacillati; Actinomycetota.
UCCGGGGUGGCGCAAUCGGCAGCGCAGCUCCCUGUUAAGGAGACGGUUGUGGGUUCGAGUCCCACCCCCGGAG